RNAcentral lists this long non-coding RNA (253 nucleotides) under Setaria viridis. Its description in RNAcentral is "long non-coding RNA (SVIR_LNC001352)". Lineage: Eukaryota; Viridiplantae; Streptophyta; Magnoliopsida; Poales; Poaceae. The record is from RNAcentral.
CAUAUACGCGCACCAUUCGACAAUUCCAGUAACCAUGUGAUUUUGUAGAAGAGCGUAUAGGAGAUGCAGAUAAUCAGAAGAGCUAUUUGUCUUUGUGAGGCUGGGAUGCACCAGGAAAGAACACGUAACGAGGUGUAAAUCAUCAGGUACGAAGGGAUUCGGUUCAGGAUCCAGCAGCAGCAAUUUCCUCAGACGGACGGAUCGAAUUAGGCAGCCAGCCAUCCUCUGCGCAACAGAAAUUUUCUGUUGAAGU